GAUCCUGGGCUCUCUACAAGGAAGCUGUUGUCUAUGAGGGAGGCAGUCAGCAGUUCCUGCGUGGCUCCUGUCUGAGGUUCCUGCCAUGGCUUCCCCCAGUGAUGAGCUGUGAGCUGAGCUGACAUAAGCCCUUGUGUCCUAUGCUUUUGGUCCGAGUGUUUUAUUACAGCAGAAGAACAGAGCUGCAGUGGUGCUAGGAUCUGGUGGGCGGAUUGGCAGGGAAGGCUGUUAAGCAGGGUACGCGCAUGGAGUCCUACUGCCCUGCUCUAGUCUUGCUUCUGAACUUCCAGCACACACGUCAAUGUCAACUACGUUGAUGGGUAACUGACCUCGAGUUCUCGCCUCUUCGUGUAUUAAGGUUCAUGCCCAAGGUGCCACAGAAGCGAUGGGAAGGACGUCUGUGGGGAGCUUCUCUGUCCUUCUUCAUCUGCACAGCAGAGCUCUUUGGUGACAGUUAUCCUCAGAGGCCCUGGGUACAGACUUUAAUUGGUGGGCUCUCAGGACAGCAGCUUUCUGCUUGGAUUUUUAGUGUAUUUAGCAUGGAUCAGACUUACGGAGAAAGAGCCCAGAGUGUCCUUGGCAAUUGUCAGGGGAGGUGGACAGUGAGGUCACUCAGAAAUUUUCUUUAACAAGGUGGGAGAGAUGAUUUGGAAUAUGUCACCCUGAUGAUCCAGAAAGCAGAAAAGAAGGCUGUCAGGCAGAGCCCCUCUUGGCCUGGGGUGAGGAACAGGUGCGGAACACAUUUCAGCCUGGGGCCAGCUGCACCUGCUAUAUUUGGGGUCAGUCUCCUCCAGGCGAUGCCUCUGCAGGAUUCGCCAAGGGAAUCCCUGGAAAUAUCCAGCCACUUCCUCUCCCAGAUGGUAGCCAGUGGCUUGGGCUCUGACAGCAUUUGUGUUUGGAUUCAGGCUAGAUCUUGACCUACCUACACGGCUGUGAGAAUCCACCAUUGUAUCUCAGGAAUGAAACCAUUGUAUGUGUCAGAUUUUAUUUUUCAUUUAAUGCUUUUUAAAAAAAAAACAAAAAAACUUAAAAAUAACAUCUUGGGCUGGCGAGAGAUGGCUCAGCGAUUAAGAGCACUGAAUGUUCUUCUGAAGGUCCUGAGUUCAAAUUCAGCAACCAUAUGGUGGCUCACAACCAUCUGUAAUGAGAUCAGAUGCCUUCUUCUGGUGUGUCUGAAAAACAGCUACAGUGUAUUACAUAUAAUAAAUAAAUAAACCUU
This 1219-nucleotide long non-coding RNA is filed under the name Mus musculus (house mouse). RNAcentral describes it as "predicted gene, 47066". The record is from RNAcentral. Lineage: Eukaryota; Metazoa; Chordata; Mammalia; Rodentia; Muridae.